UUCAUUAUGGCCGGCCAUAGUAAGAACAAAGAGAGGAAAGGAAGAACACAAAACCUAGGUGGGAAAAUUGAAGAAAAAGUGUGGGAUUUCAAAGAAUCAAGCAAUCAAAGGUAAAAUUUCUUGAUUUUGACUUGUGAUCUACCUUUCCCAUGCAUUUCUCCUUAUUUUCCAUGGUUAGAUUUCAUGUUUUCAUGAUGAAUUCAUGGCUGGUCAAAAUGGGUAUGGAGAGAGAAAGAUGUUGGAUUGAUUUGAUUUUAAGUUAUGUUAGUGUUUUUAGAUAGUUUAGCAUAUUUCGAAACAAAACAACAAAAAAAGAAUUCAUUUUUCCCCAUCACCAUCAUUGGCCGAAUUUUCUAGGGAGGAUAUUGUGACUGAAAUUGAUGAUAUUUCAUGAUAUUUGUGUGAUAAUUGAUGUUUGGUGAGGCUAGAAAUUAAAUGGGAAAUUUUGGUGUGAAAAUCUGAAUUUUUGCUCAACGUAUAGACAUGUGUGAUUAUUGACCCGAGAUUGAUAAAUUAAAUCUCAUUCAUAGUCACUGGGGUAAUUUAGGUAUAAUUGGAGUGUAGAAAGUGAGAAGAAUUGAUUUGGAGUUAAAUUGGAGAUUUUAGCCAAUUACAUCGAGAAUAAUGUGAAUUAGGUCGAAUACCGUAUUUAAACAGCUAUUCGGACAUUUUGCAUCACAUUUCGUACAUUCAUAUAGAUUUAUAGAGCUUGAAAUAGUUUAUGAUAAAUUGACAUAAUUUAUUGAAAUUCAUGUCACGUAUGAUGUAUAGGUGGUGAGCCCUCUAACAAGAGUAAAGAGAUUGUGCCCGAAGACCGAGAAUAGGAGUAUAUCGAACUACUAGUACUGUGAGUAACCUUAUCAUCAUUUUAAUUAUCUAAAGUAUGAUUUUAAUCGAUUUUGGUGAAAUUUUAUGAAAAUGAGUUUAAAUGGUUAAUUUUUGGUUUUACUAAUAAAAUAUGUUUAAAUAAAAUGAUUUUAUAAAUUGUCUUGAAAUGAAAUAACGAUUUUGAAAAAUAGAGUAAUUGGAGACCACUGUUAUGUUGUAGAUUUAUGAUUGGAAUUGAUGGCUUAUGUUAAUGUGUUGGCAUGACUGGCUAGGCUAUGUUUUAUGAAUUGUAUGAAUUGUUUUAUUUUACCCUUGCAGGCUGGGUAGUAAUAUAUUAGCCCUGUCAUGCUGUCAAAAUUUUAUUGUAUGGUGGGCUUAGCUUACUGCAGUAGGCGGGUUUCCAUGGACUAGCCUAUUAGAGGGGCACGGUAAACCCCGUUAUAUUUUACCUCGGUUGGAGAGGCGAGUAGGGUAACUCCCGAGGUAUAACUUUUAGAGUUCACUUCAUGCCAAACCACCAUGUGAGGGGGAACUCGGUCAACGCCAAGGAAUGACUAUAUUUUCAAAAUAAAAACAUGAUUUAUGUGUUCAUAACUUUUUAAUAGCCUUGGCGGACUCGGUUGGGAUAGUCCUCGAUCAAGGUAUCCUUGAUAACUAAGUAUGAUAAUGAUUUUGGCACGAGCCAAAGUUUGAAAAAGUUCAUAAGCCAUACUGAUUACUUGAUUUAAAUAAAUUGAUUUCAUUUUGUUGAAAUAAGUCGAAAGAUGAUAAAUUACAGUUUGAUGAAAUGUUUUAAUAGUCUCAUUUUACUCGUCUUUAGAUAUUUUAAAUGAUAUUUGUUUACUCACUAGGAUUAUAUAAUCUCACCACCCUCAUUUCCACCCAUUUCAGGCUUGGAAUAAAUUGUAGAUAAUUGAUAUCGACGAGGACUACAGUUGGACUUGCCACAUUCAAAAACUGUAGGUUCAUUUCUUUUGAUACUUUUAGUCAUUUGUGGGCCCACGUGUCACUGUAAAUUAAAUUCUAUAAUUUGGUUAUCUGUAUCACUGUAUGUAGGAAUUUAUUUUGCUUUUACGCUGUAAAAAUUAUUUAUGCAGUGUUCUUAAAAUAUUGUUUUAUGAGAAAAUUGAAUAUUUUAUUCAAUAUUUUUGUUUUAUACUAAUAGU
This 1994-nucleotide long non-coding RNA is filed under the name Theobroma cacao (cacao). RNAcentral's name for it is "long non-coding RNA (TCAC_LNC004970)". Lineage: Eukaryota; Viridiplantae; Streptophyta; Magnoliopsida; Malvales; Malvaceae. The record is from RNAcentral.